Molecule: long non-coding RNA, 617 nt
Organism: Leptidea sinapis
Lineage: Eukaryota; Metazoa; Arthropoda; Insecta; Lepidoptera; Pieridae
Exons: 3
Source: RefSeq, a predicted model, not a curated record
AUUGUAAAAUACUCUAAGUAUUGAGAAGAGUGGCAGUUGAGUUUCAUGUAUGUUCUUCUCACGAGCUCAACUUUUAACGAACAUAAUAUGAGAUGACAACAGAACGAUAAGAUAAAUCAAGACACAGACAGGGAUAUAAUAAUGAAUAAAGAUACAAGGUUUAAGGUCAUAGUGCCAGUGUUUCUAUACCUGCCAGUUAUGUUACCGAUACAAGAGGGCGUCCUUCAGCACCAUAAGGGUGCAAUAUAAUGAUGCAUAUCGCAUUCUUAUGAAGUUUCCGAAGUACUGCAGCGCGUCGAGCAUGUUCGCCAAGCCGUGAAUGCCCGAUUCCUUUGCUGUUAUCACAGCUCUUAUAUCUUCCUUCUGGGAAAGAUUGCGUAGCUCUGGUAACAACAUCUUCCAGGUGGUGGGCCAGGACCUGCGUAGUCCAAUUAUAGCUCAUUGGCUCUCGACACAUCGAGAAGUAAAUAGAAAAUAGCUUUGCACACAAAGCUGUUUUCUUUUUGCUUUUUUCUGAUUGAAUUAAAUAAUUGUAUAACUGUAUUGUAUACUAUUUUAUUUGUACGGCUAAAUAUUGUGGUAUGGGAUUGUAUGCCUGCAAUAAAGAUUUGUAUUAU